This 73-nucleotide non-coding RNA is filed under the name Streptomyces sp. SirexAA-E. The record is from RNAcentral. Lineage: Bacteria; Bacillati; Actinomycetota; Actinomycetes; Kitasatosporales; Streptomycetaceae.
GAGGAAGCCCGGUGAGAUUCCGGCGCGGUCCCGCCACUGUGAGCCCGGCCCCGGCCGGGUGAGUCAGAGACUC